RNAcentral lists this ribosomal RNA (206 nucleotides) under uncultured bacterium. RNAcentral's name for it is "partial 16S ribosomal RNA". It matches the Rfam family "Bacterial small subunit ribosomal RNA", at positions 568 to 774 of the family's 1533-position model. The record is from RNAcentral.
CGCGUAGGCGGGGAUACAAGUCAGAUGUGAAAUCUAUGGGCUUAACCCAUAAACUGCAUUUGAAACUGUAUCUCUUGAGUGUCGGAGAGGUAGACGGAAUUCCUAGUGUAGCGGUGAAAUGCGUAGAUAUUAGGAGGAACACCAGUGGCGAAGGCGGUCUACUGGACGAUAACUGACGCUGGGGCGCGAAGCGUGGGGAGCAAACA